GAACGAUGGCUUUGGCUGGCUUAGCUUUUCGUAUGGUUUCUUUUCUUUCCUCGGAGCUGCCGAGCUGUACUACCAGUCCAGUGGAGUGUGGUAGCAGUACUUGGCGUGUUCUAUGGUUAAGCAUGCGUGUGCACGUACCGGAGAUACCUUUGCAGUAUACCCCGUACUAGUACUGUAGUCCAUAGUCCAUACCACCCCUCUUUAAAACCAAGCCAUCUUUGUGUGUGAAAAGGAGGAAUUAUGCUCAUUCGGGCUCGCCUGUUUAGAAAUCGAUCUCGAAAUGUUGCAUACUCAGAUGCAGAAUCCCAUGGAAUAUGGUUUCCUGCUGUACUUCCUAGACCAACUGAUGGCAUUACUUUACUCUGAUCAAUGUUCUUUCCCUGUAUCAAGAAGGUUUACUGCAACUUUCAAGUUCUUUGUCCUCAUCGAGCGUAUCAAAAAGACGACGGGCAGGCGUCGUAUUGGCCCGGUCCCCUAGAGCCUAAAAAAAAAACUCCACUCCAGUAGACGGCGUGCAUAUGUGUUCUCUUUCGGAGGGCAGGACA
Molecule: long non-coding RNA, 545 nt
Filed under: Brachypodium distachyon (stiff brome)
Lineage: Eukaryota; Viridiplantae; Streptophyta; Magnoliopsida; Poales; Poaceae
Description: long non-coding RNA (BDIS_LNC003969)
Source: RNAcentral